This 508-nucleotide ribosomal RNA is filed under the name uncultured bacterium. RNAcentral describes it as "partial 16S ribosomal RNA". It matches the Rfam family "Bacterial small subunit ribosomal RNA", at positions 30 to 523 of the family's 1533-position model. The record is from RNAcentral.
AUUGAACGCUGGCGGCAUGCCUUACACAUGCAAGUCGAACGGCAGCGGGGGAGAAGCUUGCUUUUCCUGCCGGCGAGUGGCGAACGGGUGAGUAAUACAUCGGAACGUGCCCUGUAGUGGGGGAUAACUAGUCGAAAGAUUAGCUAAUACCGCAUACGACCUGAGGGUGAAAGUGGGGGACCGCAAGGCCUCAUGCUAUAGGAGCGGCCGAUGUCUGAUUAGCUAGUUGGUGGGGUAAAGGCCUACCAAGGCGACGAUCAGUAGCUGGUCUGAGAGGACGAUCAGCCACACUGGGACUGAGACACGGCCCAGACUCCUACGGGAGGCAGCAGUGGGGAACUUUGGACAAUGGGCGAAAGCCUGAUCCAGCAAUGCCGCGUGUGUGAAGAAGGCCUCCGGGUUGUAAAGCACUUUUGUCCGGAAAGAAAUGGCUCUGGUUAAUACCUGGGGUCGAUGACGGUACCGGAAGAAUAAGGACCGGCUAACUACGUGCCAGCAGCCGCAGUAA